GAUGAACGCUGGCGGCGUGCCUAAUACGUGCAAGUCGAGCGAGCAGACGAGGAGCUUGCUCCUCUGACGUUAGCGGCGGACGGGUGAGUAACUCGUGGAUAACCUACCUAUAAGACUGGGAUAACUUCGGGAAACCGGAGCUAAUACCGGAUAAUAUAUUGAACCGCAUGGUUCAAUAGUGAAAGACGGUUUUGCUGUCACUUAUAGAUGGAUCCGCGCCGCAUUAGCUAGUUGGUAAGGUAACGGCUUACCAAGGCAACGAUGCGUAGCCGACCUGAGAGGGUGAUCGGCCACACUGGAACUGAGACACGGUCCAGACUCCUACGGGAGGCAGCAGUAGGGAAUCUUCCGCAAUGGGCGAAAGCCUGACGGAGCAACGCCGCGUGAGUGAUGAAGGUCUUCGGAUCGUAAAACUCUGUUAUUAGGGAAGAACAAAUGUGAAAGUAACUAUGCACGUCUUGACGGUACCUAAUCAGAAAGCCACGGCUAACUACGUG
RNAcentral lists this ribosomal RNA (497 nucleotides) under uncultured bacterium. RNAcentral's name for it is "partial 16S ribosomal RNA". It matches the Rfam family "Bacterial small subunit ribosomal RNA", at positions 28 to 507 of the family's 1533-position model. The record is from RNAcentral.